Molecule: ribosomal RNA, 504 nt
Filed under: uncultured bacterium
Lineage: Bacteria
Description: bacterial SSU rRNA
Rfam family: Bacterial small subunit ribosomal RNA
Source: RNAcentral
UAGUCCACGCUGUAAACGAUGUCUACUUGGAGGUUGUUGUCUUGAAUGAUGGCUUUCGGAGCUAACGCGUUAAGUAGACCGCCUGGGGAGUACGGCCGCAAGGUUAAAACUCAAAUGAAUUGACGGGGGCCCGCACAAGCGGUGGAGCAUGUGGUUUAAUUCGAUGCAACGCGAAGAACCUUACCUACUCUUGACAUCUAGAGAAGCUUGCAGAGAUGCGAGUGUGCCUUCGGGAACUCUAAGACAGGUGCUGCAUGGCUGUCGUCAGCUCGUGUUGUGAAAUGUUGGGUUAAGUCCCGCAACGAGCGCAACCCUUAUCCUUGUUUGCCAGCACGUAAUGGUGGGAACUCCAGGGAGACUGCCGGUGAUAAACCGGAGGAAGGUGGGGACGACGUCAAGUCAUCAUGGCUCUUACGUCCAGGGCUACACACGUGCUACAAUGGGGCAUACAAAGAGCAGCUAGCUGGCAACAGUGCGCGAACCUCAAAAAGUGACCUCUCUACG